This 460-nucleotide long non-coding RNA is filed under the name Pan troglodytes (chimpanzee). Its description in RNAcentral is "long non-coding RNA NONPTRT009516". Lineage: Eukaryota; Metazoa; Chordata; Mammalia; Primates; Hominidae. The record is from RNAcentral.
CCUCCUGUCGGGUUGAGCGGGGAGGCACACACCUGCCCCAGACUGCAGCUCAGAAGAGGCAGAGGCGAGGGUCAAGCGUUCCACACCCCGAGGUCCCCGGGGGCCCCGUCAGAGAAGGUCCUGGGCGCAGACUUCACCUUCUGGACCUUCUCCUAUCCGGAAAGUACGUGGCCCACACAGUGGUGCGAGGAGCCUUGGGCUGGGCAGCUGCUGGCCUGGAUCCGAGUCCUGCCCUGGCGAAAGUGCUGAUUACUUUACAUACUUCUACAUCUGCAGAACCAGGUGAUUGAUCCUCAAAGCCCAGCCAGCUCCAGCAAGCUCUGGUACCUGCAACCACGGGCCGCCCUGUGCCCGGCCCACCUUCCUUGAACCAUGUUCCGCUCACCUGUGGCGCGGCCGCCCCCGGAGCAGCGCGUGCCGUGUGCCGAGGACAGAGGCAGACCCGGACAGAGUAUGUGGA